GUGAGUCAUCGAAUCUUUGAACGCACAUUGCGCCUGCCAGCAUUCUGGCAGGCAUGCCUGUCCGAGCGUCAUUUCCACCCUCACGCGCCCUGUUGCGCGUGGUGUUGGGGCUCUGCUCUCCCUGCCCUGGCGCGGGAGAGGCCCUGAAAGCGAGUGGCGGGCCGCCUGGUUGGCUCCGAGCGCAGUAGAAACGCCCUGUUUUUUUCAUCGCUCUGGACGUCGCCGGCGGCGCCUGCCGUCAAAGCGCACAGAUGACGUGCAACUUUUCUCAAAGGUUGACCUCGGAUCAGGUAGGACUACCCGCUGAACUUAAGCAUAUCAAUAAGCGGAGGA
This 333-nucleotide unclassified non-coding RNA is filed under the name Leptographium sp. RNAcentral describes it as "partial contains 5.8S ribosomal RNA, internal transcribed spacer 2, and large subunit ribosomal RNA". The stretch from base 1 to 71 matches the Rfam family "5.8S ribosomal RNA", at positions 84 to 154 of the family's 154-position model. Lineage: Eukaryota; Fungi; Ascomycota; Sordariomycetes; Ophiostomatales; Ophiostomataceae. The record is from RNAcentral.